This 391-nucleotide unclassified non-coding RNA is filed under the name soil metagenome. Its description in RNAcentral is "partial contains 5.8S ribosomal RNA, internal transcribed spacer 2, and large subunit ribosomal RNA". The stretch from base 1 to 122 matches the Rfam family "5.8S ribosomal RNA", at positions 35 to 154 of the family's 154-position model. The record is from RNAcentral.
GAUGAGGAACGUAGCGAAAUGCGAUACUUGGUGUGAAUUGCAGAAUCCCGUGAACCAUCGAGUCUUUGAACGCAAGUUGCGCCCGAAGCCAUUAGGCCGAGGGCACGCCUGCCUGGGCGUCACACGUCGUUGCCCCCCCAUCUACUCCUUCGGGAUUGCGGGGGGCGGAUGAUGGCCUCCCGUGCGCCUCGCCGCGCGGUUGGCAUAAAUGCCAAGUCCUCGGCGACGCACGCCACGACAAUCGGUGGUUGCGAAACCUCGGUUGCCCGUCGUGUGCGGUCGUCGCGCAUCGAGGGCUCGAAAAAAUUGCCGGGUUCCGGCUCGGCUUUCAACGCGACCCCAGGUCAGGCGGGGUUACCCGCUGAAUUUAAGCAUAUCAAUAAGCGGAGGA